UCCAGCAGUAUAUAACCCCAAUUUGCUUCUCUAUUCCUUGCUGGAUUGUUAAGCUACUCAAUAUGAGUCUGUCCUGGUGUACCCACCCACCUCGCUUUUGGAGAAACCUGCCUCGCCCAUUCUUGCUCACAAAGAAAUACUCACUGUUCCAAAUAUGGAUUUGGAGAGAUCAUACCAUCACCAGAGCCUGUGGAAAAAAGAGAAAUGUUCCCAGUAGAAAACAGACAAGUCUUACCUGCAAUUCCACCCCUAAAACUACAACUACAACCUGUUGCUGUUCUGACUCAGGCCGACUACAACCAACCUACUCGUCUACCCUGUGAGAACGGUUAAGAAAACACCACGGCACCUCUGUGCUGAAUCACAAUAUUCAUUGACGUUACCAGAGAGGAAGUGCACGGAGGGACAGCAGACGGAAAUAUCAUAACCUCUUUUCUCCAAAGGCUGCCUCCACCCACCAUUUGAAGCCCACCUUGACAUUUCCAGCUAGUGACACCAACUGAGGGCUCUGGAUUUUUCAUGGGUGUUUUACAUGCACAUGAACUAAUAACAUCUUCCUAGAUGUAACUGUGUCAGUCAGCUCGGGACUGCUGUCCAAGAACGUCCUGUGCAGAAUCCCUGUU
Oreochromis aureus is the source of this 623-nucleotide long non-coding RNA. RefSeq lists it as uncharacterized. The record is from RefSeq and is a predicted model, not a curated record. Lineage: Eukaryota; Metazoa; Chordata; Actinopteri; Cichliformes; Cichlidae. The transcript has 3 exons.